UUUCACAGAAAAAUCAAGUAACAGUGGGACAACUGUUAAAUUCUGUGUUGUUCAAGGAACUGACAGUAUGGUCAAGAAUGGCAUCACAACUACAAUCAGCGUCAAACAUCAAUGCAUCACUGUGAUGUCAAAUUAUGAUAAAAAGAGCUUAGAGGAACUCAGGUUAGAAGAUUAUAUACUUCAGGGGCGCGUGCAAAGACCCAAAAGUAGGUGUUGGGAUCCUCAGUAUUAUGGUCUCAUUGAUUUUUGUCUCGGUUGUUGUUUGCUCAUGUAAUAUUUACUUAUU
Long non-coding RNA from Stylophora pistillata, 286 nucleotides. The record is from RefSeq and is a predicted model, not a curated record. NCBI's taxonomy places the organism in Eukaryota, Metazoa, Cnidaria, Anthozoa, Scleractinia, Pocilloporidae.